RNAcentral lists this ribosomal RNA (467 nucleotides) under uncultured bacterium. Its description in RNAcentral is "partial 16S ribosomal RNA". It matches the Rfam family "Bacterial small subunit ribosomal RNA", at positions 28 to 507 of the family's 1533-position model. The record is from RNAcentral.
GACGAACGCUGGCGGCGUGCUUAACACAUGCAAGUCGAACGGAAAGGCUCCAGCUUGCUGGAGUGCUCGAGUGGCGAACGGGUGAGUAACACGUGGGCAAUCUGCCCUGCACUCUGGGAUAAGCCUGGGAAACUGGGUCUAAUACCGGAUAUGACCUUUCUCCUCAUGGGGUUUGGUGGAAAGUUUUUCGGUGCAGGUUGAGCCCGCGUCCUAUCAGCUUGUUGGUGGGGUAAUGGCCUACCAAGGCGACGACGGGUAGCCGGCAUGAGAGGGUGAUCGGCCACAUUGGGACUGAGAUACGGCCCAGACUCCUACGGGAGGCAGCAGUGGGGAAUAUUGCACAAUGGGCGAAAGCCUGAUGCAGCGACGCCGCGUGAGGGAUGACGGCCUUCGGGUUGUAAACCUCUUUCAGUAGGGACGAAGCGAAAGUGACGGUACCUGCAGAAGAAGCACCGGCUAACUACGUG